Molecule: long non-coding RNA, 3281 nt
Organism: Camarhynchus parvulus
Lineage: Eukaryota; Metazoa; Chordata; Aves; Passeriformes; Thraupidae
Exons: 3
Source: RefSeq, a predicted model, not a curated record
CCUCAGAAAAGAAAGAUGCUGGAAGGAAGAUACUGUUCGGCAGGAACAGUUAGAGGAUAGGCUGUUUCCCUCACGGGUGUCUCAGGUAGUGCGAUCCUCUGGGAAUAGCGAAAAGACCCGCACGAAAAGACGGGUGUAGCCGGAACUGUGCCUGCCGUCGGGCGGUGCUGCAGAACCGGUACAUAGUGGGCACGGGUGGGGCCUCAGAUUGGAGAAACCGGCCCUGCUUCCAGCACAUUACCCACCAGCUGGCUGCUCGGGAUCCCGAGCUGCACGGACGCCCGAGGGUCACGCCACCGGGAAAGGGAAUAGGAGUCGGAAGGCUUCUCCGCCGGGCAGGGACAGAGCCCGACAUCGCCCGGCACCGGCCGUACCAGGACCCGCGGGUGGGGGCCGCGCGCUCCGCCCCGGCGCUCACCUGUAGGCGCUGAGGAGCGCCUUGUUGACCAGCACGUUCAAGUGAGAGGGAAAGAGACUUCCCUUCUCAUCUGAAUUUCCUGACUCCAACGAGAGGAAGAAGUUAAAGCAAGCAGGCAGAGACUGCUCCUCCUAUCUACUGUCGCAGGGGUGCCACAGCUAAGUUUGCCAGCUCAAUGAGCGCCAGCGCGCCAUGCAUGCGUUCACGCUGCUCCUGGAGGCGACGGUGGCAGGCAGCUGAAUGAGCGCUGUUUUUCUCUUCAUCGUCCUCUUCAUCAGACUGAAGAUACUCCAUUGGGUCCUGCUGUUCCUGAUCUGUUUUCUGGAUUGCUUUGGUCUUCAAAGCAGGAGCACGCUGCUCUCUAGUCUCCCAGUACCUAUAACAUCAAACGUGAGGAAUUCUUGUGAAAUACAUACAAACGACUCGCACACCAACAAUUCAAAAUGGGCAAAAACUUCCCAAGCUUGCAUCCAACUGGGUAUUGCACUUGGCUUUACCUUUCAGCCCUUAUAUGGCAGUAUUUAAGCUGUCAGAAAACUUCUUUACUCAGUAUUUCAUAUGUGAAGUGCCCAAGUGAACAUUGUGACAGAUUUCUUGUCUCCAUGGUGUUCUCAGCAGGCAUUUCUUCCUAGACAUACAGUACCCCUCAUACAAAUGCAAAUUCAGCAAAACUGCAGCACUAGCUAAUAAAGUAUUAGCAGGUGUUGAUCAAGCAAAAAAAAGUAUUUAAGCAGAGAGCAAACACAAACCAAAACCAAACUGUAAGAAAAAAGUCUCAAGAACUUUGUCUUGACCAGGAGUUCAUAAUUCUUUAAGGAGAGGCAAGGCUGUGCUGAUGUGUACUGGAAGAACAUCUAGUCUUGCUUUCUUGGGGUUUAACUAUCCCAAAGAAUGAAUGCUAUGUCAGACCACUCUUUUAAGUAUUUUGAGAAAGAUGAGGAAACUUACUUCGCUAGCCACUCGGCCACAGCUUUAUUGUCAGCUGUCUCCUUCUUACUCAGCCUGUCUGUGAGCUCUUCCCUCUUCAGUCGGGCAUAGGGAUGUUUGGGACAAUGACGGUUUGCAUGUGUGAAUCUGCUUAAACAGCCUUAAAAAAACACAGAGUGACAAUAAAGAACGUGUUACAGAAAGCAGCCAACCAAAGAAAGUGUAGCAUCUGUGGGAUGGAAAUGCCACUGAAUCCACCCUUCCCCAUUCACAAAAACCCUAGGUUUUGUUGAAAACCAAAGGCUCUAGGUUCGUAACAUGCCCCAUUAUUUUAUAUAUUAGUAUCCACUGACAGAGAAGGUAUGCAAUCCUUAGAUACAUGCAGAAUUAGGCAGAUUCUGCAGGGCUCUUCCCUUCCCUAAAAGUUCCACCAAAUUUAAACUCCAAAGCUUUUGCUAUGUGAACAUGCAUACAUUUCCAAUACUAGUCUGACCCCAGAAAACUGCAAAUCGUUCUCUGAUGACUUACCAUUCUCUGAGCAGACAAAAGGCUUCUCUCCUGUGUGGAGACGCUGGUGAGUUUUGAGCUGCCCACUCUGUACAAAGGCUUUCCCACAAUCUGGGUAAUCACAUAAAUAAGGCCUUUCACCUAAAGUAGUAACAGAAGAGAUUUAUGAAAGAUGACUAGAAGUGUCAUAGUAGUCAGUAGUGGUCCCUGGCUUCAGAAACUUGCAUCUACUUAAAAAAUCCUGGUGUACUUAGAAGUGCAUGCUCUAUGCUACUGACAAUACACUUAUUUCCGAAGAGAAAAAAAAUUGUACUUUUCCUUGUCAUAUUUCCUGAUUUAAGACUCCUAGAUAGCACUACAUAGGUUUUGUGAAACUGUCCAGAUAUAAAGCAAUGUUGUAUUGCAUCUGGUGUUCCCUCCCAUACCUGGUUCGGUGGCUGUCCCACGGGUGGUCCCCCCCCCAUUGGCAUCCCAUUGGCUACGGUCCUCUUUCCCCGCCCCCUCUCCCCUGGACAAAACCCUGCAGCGGGCUGAAUGCGCCCUCUUUCUUUACCUGGGUGGCUGCACCACCUGAUGUCCUGUCUCAAGCUAAUAAACGGAUACCUACACCCACGUGGAGAAAGAGCGCUCCUUGUCUUUUGUCCUUCGUCUAUGCUGGUUCCGUGCUGGGCUUGGAUUCGUGCUGGCCGGAUUGGAUUCAUAUAAGCCCAGAAACCCACAGAACACAGCAAAGAAAUAUGGACAAGUAAUUGGACAAGUAAUGUAAUUCAGGUUGUAACCAGAAGCAUCUUAUCCUUACCAUAGCCUGAACUAGGGUAAAAUAACCUGAGGUCAACAUCACUACAAGGUUAUAGAAAUAUCUCAUUAGGAGAAAUAGCUAAUGUUUAAGAAAAGCUAUAAUGAUGAAGGCUGCAUGAGAAACUUAUUCCAGAUUUAGGUUUUCUUAAAUCAGUCAUCAAGGAAGAGUUCCCCAUGCAAACUGCAGCCAGGAGAACAAAGGUAGCAGUUGUCUUCUUCCUCAAGUGGACCUGACUGCACACACUACACAAAGGUAUCCCAUGCCACCGCCCUCAGGAAGGCAACAAAAUGAGGGUGAGUCUGGCUCACUAAUUCAGAGGAAUGACAGGGUCAGCUCCACUCAGUUAAGUAGUUUUUACAAGUUCAACACAUUGUAGGACCAAGUGAAGUAACUUAUUUUGACCAAAAAAUGAGGAAUGCUGCUGUUUAAUAUCAUUAUUUAGAUUAGUCAUAGUGACCUAAGUCAGAAGGAGAUGGUGAUAGCCAAGGCUUUUGUGGGAUUUUGUUUGGUUGGUUUGAGAGGAGUGCUGGUGGUUGUGUCUGUAUUGUGAGCUACAUUUUUUCAUGUUUUAUGGCAAACAGUGUUCUGUUGAAGAAAUAAAAUGUAUUUGCUUGGUUUAAAAAAAACCCA